This 494-nucleotide ribosomal RNA is filed under the name uncultured bacterium. RNAcentral describes it as "partial 16S ribosomal RNA". It matches the Rfam family "Bacterial small subunit ribosomal RNA", at positions 30 to 523 of the family's 1533-position model. The record is from RNAcentral.
AUUGAACGCUGGCGGCAUGCCUUACACAUGCAAGUCGAACGGUAGAGGAGCAAUCCUCGAGAGUGGCGAACGGGUGAGUAAUGCAUCGGAACGUGCCCAGUAAUGGGGGAUAGCCCGGCGAAAGCCGGAUUAAUACCGCAUACGACCUAAGGGUGAAAGAGGGGGAUCGCAAGACCUCUCGUUAUUGGAGCGGCCGAUGUCAGAUUAGGUAGUUGGUGGGGUAAAGGCCUACCAAGCCAACGAUCUGUAGCUGGUCUGAGAGGACGACCAGCCACACUGGGACUGAGACGCGGCCCAGAAUCCUACGGGAGGCAGCAGUGGGGAAUUUUGGACAAUGGGCGCAAGCCUGAUUCAGCCAUGCCGCGUGCGGGAAGAAGGCCUUCGGGUUGUAAACCGCUUUUGUCAGGGAAGAAAUCUUCUGGGUUAAUACCUCGGGAGGAUGACGGUACCUGAAGAAUAAGCACCGGCUAACUACGUGCCAGCAGCCGCCGUAA